UAGUGCCAAUGUUGCUGAUAUUAGAAGGGUCCAGAUUGUUAGAUGGUUAAAACCUACGUUUCCUUUUGUUAAACUCAAUACUGAUGGCUCUGUUGGUGUUAAUUCUGCAGGUAUUGGUGGUAUUAUCCGUGAUCAUUUUGGUGAUCCUGUGGAGGUUUUCUCUAGGCCCUUGAAUCUUUGUUCUGUGUUAUCUAUUGAACUGUUAAGCUUAAAUUGUGGGUUAGAUCUCUGCAGAAGGUUGGGUUACCAGCAUAUCAACAUUGAGGACUUUUUGGACGUUGGGGUUUUUGAGCUUCAAUCAGUGUUUUUCGGCUUGCUGGUGUUGGUUGCAAGAUAAAUUUUUUUGUGAGGAAGAUGAUGCUGCUGCUUUGAUCUGAAUCGUUCUUUUUUGGGUACCGGCUCCUUGCCGCCCUCACUUGUUAUUAGGUUAUCUUGUAUUUUUUCUUAGUGGGAAUUAUCGGCUAUUAGGUUUUUUA
Long non-coding RNA from Dendrobium catenatum, 476 nucleotides. RefSeq lists it as uncharacterized. Lineage: Eukaryota; Viridiplantae; Streptophyta; Magnoliopsida; Asparagales; Orchidaceae. The record is from RefSeq and is a predicted model, not a curated record. The transcript is spliced from 3 exons.